ACUAUUUUGGCAGAUUAGUGCAAUAAAUUUAGAAUUUAUUUAUGUAGUGUUUACAAAUAGUA
This 62-nucleotide transfer RNA is filed under the name Paratrichobius longicrus. Its description in RNAcentral is "tRNA-Leu". Lineage: Eukaryota; Metazoa; Arthropoda; Insecta; Diptera; Streblidae. The record is from RNAcentral.